RNAcentral lists this ribosomal RNA (468 nucleotides) under uncultured bacterium. RNAcentral describes it as "partial 16S ribosomal RNA". It matches the Rfam family "Bacterial small subunit ribosomal RNA", at positions 28 to 507 of the family's 1533-position model. The record is from RNAcentral.
GACGAACGCUGGCGGCGUGCUUAACACAUGCAAGUCGAACGGAAAGGCCCUGCUUUUGUGGGGUGCUCGAGUGGCGAACGGGCAAGUAACACGUGAGUAACCUGCCCUUGACUUCGGGAUAACUUCAGGAAACUGGGGCUAAUACCGGAUAGGAGCUCCUGCUGCAUGGUGGGGGUUGGAAAGUUUCGGCGGUUGGGGAUGGACUCGCGGCUUAUCAGCUUGUUGGUGGGGUAGUGGCUUACCAAGGCUUUGACGGGUAGCCGGCCUGAGAGGGUGACCGGCCACAUUGGGACUGAGAUACGGCCCAGACUCCUACGGGAGGCAGCAGUGGGGAAUAUUGCACAAUGGGCGGAAGCCUGAUGCAGCAACGCCGCGUGCGGGAUGACGGCCUUCGGGUUGUAAACCGCUUUCGCCUGUGACGAAGCGUGAGUGACGGUAAUGGGUAAAGAAGCACCGGCUAACUACGUG